AACAAGGUUUCCGUAGGUGAACCUGCGGAAGGAUCAUUAUUGAAUU
RNAcentral lists this ribosomal RNA (46 nucleotides) under Thanatephorus cucumeris. RNAcentral's name for it is "partial 18S ribosomal RNA". The record is from RNAcentral. Lineage: Eukaryota; Fungi; Basidiomycota; Agaricomycetes; Cantharellales; Ceratobasidiaceae.